Molecule: ribosomal RNA, 557 nt
Filed under: uncultured marine ascomycete SIF14
Lineage: Eukaryota; Fungi; Ascomycota
Description: eukaryotic LSU rRNA
Rfam family: 5.8S ribosomal RNA (bases 147-300)
Source: RNAcentral
GCUUGUGCACAUCAACUGCUAUUUGAACCUUUAUUCUACCUUGAUUUUUUGCGUACUCCUGUUUCCUUGGUGGGCUUGCCUGCCAGCUGGACAAAUCUAUAACCCUUUUAAUGUUUAAUCAGCGUCUGAGUAAAUUUAAUAAUUACAACUUUCAACAACGGAUCUCUUGGUUCUGGCAUCGAUGAAGAACGCAGCGAAAUGCGAUAAGUAGUGUGAAUUGCAGAAUUCAGUGAAUCAUCGAAUCUUUGAACGCACAUUGCGCCCCCUGGCAUUCCGGGGGGCAUGCCUGUUCGAGCGUCAUUACACCAAUCACGCCUGGCGUGGUAUUGGGCCGACGGGGCCGUUACACGCCCCGCGCCCCAAUGACUCCCCGGCGGGACGGACCGUAUCUCAGCGUUGUGCAAACUGCCGCUGGCGAGACGGGCUCGGCCGUGCCGUGAAAACCUCAAUUUUGUUCAGGUUGACCUCGGAUCAGGUAGGGAUACCCGCUGAACUUAAGCAUAUCAAUAAGCGGAGGAAAAGAAACCAACAGGGAUUGCCCCAGUAACGGCGAAGCC